AAAAAGGGCUAUGGAACUGGCUGCAGCAGUUAUUAUUAAGGCCUACGGCAGGAGGGGGAACCUCUGCAGACACCCCACCACCACCUUCAGCAGGGUUUAAGAGGCUUUAUCCCACUGGGGUAUUUUCUGACUGAAAGCAGGAGAUGCAAAAGUUUGCUGAGUGAACAAUCUUGCUUUCAGAAGCCCAAGAUGUAUGGUCAGCCUGGGAAUGAGGGUGCCUGGUGUUGUCAGGGUAUACUUCUCACUCCACUGAAGAUGAUCGGCGAUUAGUUAUUGCAAUGAACAACUACAAUAGGAUUGU
Hemicordylus capensis (graceful crag lizard) is the source of this 301-nucleotide long non-coding RNA. RefSeq lists it as uncharacterized. Lineage: Eukaryota; Metazoa; Chordata; Lepidosauria; Squamata; Cordylidae. The transcript is spliced from 3 exons. The record is from RefSeq and is a predicted model, not a curated record.